AGAAGCAGUUUUUUCAGGGCAAGAUCUUGGCACGAAAUCACACGAGAUCACCCUUGUGGGUGGCAGGUUCUGUAAUCAAUCCAGAUGGAAAGUGGCCUGUUGAGGAAGAGCAGGAAUAAUUCUGGACUGAGGGAAAUGACAUUUUUGUGCUGCAGGGGGGAGCCCCUGGGUGAGUCAGACCAAAAGCCCAUCUGUCCCGGGAAAGAAUCAUAGAAUCACAUACCCUCCAACAUUUCUCUGAUGAAAAUAGGGACAUCCCAUUCUGUAAUGAUUAUUUUAUUUAUUUAUACCCCACACAUCUUACUUGGUUGCCCCAGUCACUCUAGGCAGCUUCCAACAUAUAUAAAAAACAUAAUAAACCAUUAAACUUUUUUGUUUAAACUUCCCUAUGAACCACCUUCAGACAGCUUGAGGGUUAGAUAACUCCAUGCCUAAGGAAAAGUGGGACAUUUCGGGAUCAAAUCAGAAAUCGGGACGGCUUCUCUAAAUCAGGGACAUCCCUGGAAAAUAGGGACCCUUGGAGGGUCUGGAAUCAUAGAACUGUAGAGUUG
This is a non-coding RNA of Podarcis lilfordi (Lilford's wall lizard), 551 nucleotides long. The record is from the annotation of a GenBank genome assembly. NCBI's taxonomy places the organism in Eukaryota, Metazoa, Chordata, Lepidosauria, Squamata, Lacertidae.